Molecule: ribosomal RNA, 497 nt
Filed under: uncultured bacterium
Lineage: Bacteria
Description: partial 16S ribosomal RNA
Rfam family: Bacterial small subunit ribosomal RNA
Source: RNAcentral
GAUGAACGCUGGCGGCGUGCCUAAUACAUGCAAGUCGAGCGAACAGACGAGGAGCUUGCUCCUCUGACGUUAGCGGCGGACGGGUGAGUAACACGUGGAUAACCUACCUAUAAGACUGGGAUAACUUCUGGAAACCGGAGCUAAUACCGGAUAAUAUAUUGAACCGCAUGGUUCAAUAGUGAAAGACGGUUUUGCUGUCACUUAUAGAUGGAUCCGCGCCGCAUUAGCUAGUUGGUAAGGUAACGGCUUACCAAGGCAACGAUGCGUAGCCGACCUGAGAGGGUGAUCGCCCACACUGGAACUGAGACACGGUCCAGACUCCUACGGGAGGCAGCAGUAGGGAAUCUUCCGCAAUGGGCGAAAGCUUGACGGAGCAACGCCGCGUGAGUGAUGAAGGUCUUCGGAUCGUAAAACUCUGUUAUUAGGGAAGAACAAAUGUGUAAGUAACUAUGCACGUCUUGACGGUACCUAAUCAGAAAGCAACGGCUAACUACGUG